This 731-nucleotide long non-coding RNA is filed under the name Struthio camelus australis. RNAcentral describes it as "lncRNA (ENSSCUG00000007429.1)". The record is from RNAcentral. Lineage: Eukaryota; Metazoa; Chordata; Aves; Struthioniformes; Struthionidae.
GAAAUUUUGGAUAGAGAAAUGCCUCUGCUCUGUCUCCCCAAUUAUUUCCUAUUACUCCUUUUCCUAGAAUCACUUGUAGGAUCACUUGUAGGAUUGCAACCAAUUGCAGGAUUGGGGAUUUGGUUUAUUCUGUCUUGAAUGUAUUGUUUCAUGAGAAAUUUAGCUCUCUGUCUGGAACUUAGACUGCCUAAGGAACACUUGUGUCUUAUUUUGCUUUUUUCAGAGACAGAUAAAGCUUUUCCCACACAGACCUUCAACAACAGACCUUCACCAAGUAAAGCAGGCAUCCUGAGGAGAAUUCGAUUGUGUUAUGAAACACAUAGCAAACGGAGAAAAACAGGCUUUCCUAGUGAAGAAUUCAGAGUGGCUAAGUUAUGCACGGAAUUGGGAUUUUUCUCCCUAGUAGAAAAAACAAGGAAGGUGAGUUCUUUUAGGAUGAAGUUAGUGUUUAUGACUUGGUCAGGUUGGCUUUUUUUAUUCAAAAUGUUAAAACAAAAAUUGAAAGAAGUCAUCAGACUUGACUGUGUGUGUCUGUGUGUGUACAGCAAAUGUAAUCCACUUGACAAAAAUCCUCUAUUUUGAGAGGCAGAAGAAUUUUUGACCUUCCUCUAGGAAAUAUCUGAAGUGUGUGAGAGGGGAGAAGAGUUCUUCUCUUGCUUAAGUAUCAACUGUGUGAAUUAUUGAUAAUAUGAAAGAUCAGGCUGCAUUUUGGGUAGUUAUGACUUCUAAAU